GGUUAAGCGACUAAGCGUACACGGUGGAUGCCCUGGCAGUCAGAGGCGAUGAAGGACGUGCUAAUCUGCGAUAAGCGUCGGUAAGGUGAUAUGAACCGUUAUAACCGGCGAUUUCCGAAUGGGGAAACCCAGUGUGAUUCGUCACACUAUCAUUAACUGAAUCCAUAGGUUAAUGAGGCGAACCGGGGGAACUGAAACAUCUAAGUACCCCGAGGAAAAGAAAUCAACCGAGAUUCCCCCAGUAGCGGCGAGCGAACGGGGAGCAGCCCAGAGCCUGAAUCAGUGUGUGUGUUAGUGGAAGCGUCUGGAAAGGCGUGCGAUACAGGGUGACAGCCCCGUACACAAAAAUGCACAUGCUGUGAGCUCGAUGAGUAGGGCGGGACACGUGGUAUCCUGUCUGAAUAUGGGGGGACCAUCCUCCAAGGCUAAAUACUCCUGACUGACCGAUAGUGAACCAGUACCGUGAGGGAAAGGCGAAAAGAACCCCGGCGAGGGGAGUGAAAAAGAACCUGAAACCGUGUACGUACAAGCAGUGGGAGCACGCUUAGGCGUGUGACUGCGUACCUUUUGUAUAAUGGGUCAGCGACUUAUAUUCUGUAGCAAGGUUAACCGAAUAGGGGAGCCGAAGGGAAACCGAGUCUUAACUGGGCGUUAAGUUGCAGGGUAUAGACCCGAAACCCGGUGAUCUAGCCAUGGGCAGGUUGAAGGUUGGGUAACACUAACUGGAGGACCGAACCGACUAAUGUUGAAAAAUUAGCGGAUGACUUGUGGCUGGGGGUGAAAGGCCAAUCAAACCGGGAGAUAGCUGGUUCUCCCCGAAAGCUAUUUAGGUAGCGCCUCGUGAAUUCAUCUCCGGGGGUAGAGCACUGUUUCGGCAAGGGGGUCAUCCCGACUUACCAACCCGAUGCAAACUGCGAAUACCGGAGAAUGUUAUCACGGGAGACACACGGCGGGUGCUAACGUCCGUCGUGAAGAGGGAAACAACCCAGACCGCCAGCUAAGGUCCCAAAGUCAUGGUUAAGUGGGAAACGAUGUGGGAAGGCCCAGACAGCCAGGAUGUUGGCUUAGAAGCAGCCAUCAUUUAAAGAAAGCGUAAUAGCUCACUGGUCGAGUCGGCCUGCGCGGAAGAUGUAACGGGGCUAAACCAUGCACCGAAGCUGCGGCAGCGACGCUUAUGCGUUGUUGGGUAGGGGAGCGUUCUGUAAGCCUGCGAAGGUGUGCUGUGAGGCAUGCUGGAGGUAUCAGAAGUGCGAAUGCUGACAUAAGUAACGAUAAAGCGGGUGAAAAGCCCGCUCGCCGGAAGACCAAGGGUUCCUGUCCAACGUUAAUCGGGGCAGGGUGAGUCGACCCCUAAGGCGAGGCCGAAAGGCGUAGUCGAUGGGAAACAGGUUAAUAUUCCUGUACUUGGUGUUACUGCGAAGGGGGGACGGAGAAGGCUAUGUUGGCCGGGCGACGGUUGUCCCGGUUUAAGCGUGUAGGCUGGUUUUCCAGGCAAAUCCGGAAAAUCAAGGCUGAGGCGUGAUGACGAGGCACUACGGUGCUGAAGCAACAAAUGCCCUGCUUCCAGGAAAAGCCUCUAAGCAUCAGGUAACAUCAAAUCGUACCCCAAACCGACACAGGUGGUCAGGUAGAGAAUACCAAGGCGCUUGAGAGAACUCGGGUGAAGGAACUAGGCAAAAUGGUGCCGUAACUUCGGGAGAAGGCACGCUGAUAUGUAGGUGAAGCGACUUGCUCGUGGAGCUGAAAUCAGUCGAAGAUACCAGCUGGCUGCAACUGUUUAUUAAAAACACAGCACUGUGCAAACACGAAAGUGGACGUAUACGGUGUGACGCCUGCCCGGUGCCGGAAGGUUAAUUGAUGGGGUCAGCGCAAGCGAAGCUCUUGAUCGAAGCCCCGGUAAACGGCGGCCGUAACUAUAACGGUCCUAAGGUAGCGAAAUUCCUUGUCGGGUAAGUUCCGACCUGCACGAAUGGCGUAAUGAUGGCCAGGCUGUCUCCACCCGAGACUCAGUGAAAUUGAACUCGCUGUGAAGAUGCAGUGUACCCGCGGCAAGACGGAAAGACCCCGUGAACCUUUACUAUAGCUUGACACUGAACAUUGAGCCUUGAUGUGUAGGAUAGGUGGGAGGCUUUGAAGUGUGGACGCCAGUCUGCAUGGAGCCGACCUUGAAAUACCACCCUUUAAUGUUUGAUGUUCUAACGUGGACCCGUGAUCCGGGUUGCGGACAGUGUCUGGUGGGUAGUUUGACUGGGGCGGUCUCCUCCUAAAGAGUAACGGAGGAGCACGAAGGUUGGCUAAUCCUGGUCGGACAUCAGGAGGUUAGUGCAAUGGCAUAAGCCAGCUUGACUGCGAGCGUGACGGCGCGAGCAGGUGCGAAAGCAGGUCAUAGUGAUCCGGUGGUUCUGAAUGGAAGGGCCAUCGCUCAACGGAUAAAAGGUACUCCGGGGAUAACAGGCUGAUACCGCCCAAGAGUUCAUAUCGACGGCGGUGUUUGGCACCUCGAUGUCGGCUCAUCACAUCCUGGGGCUGAAGUAGGUCCCAAGGGUAUGGCUGUUCGCCAUUUAAAGUGGUACGCGAGCUGGGUUUAGAACGUCGUGAGACAGUUCGGUCCCUAUCUGCCGUGGGCGCUGGAGAACUGAGGGGGGCUGCUCCUAGUACGAGAGGACCGGAGUGGACGCAUCACUGGUGUUCGGGUUGUCAUGCCAAUGGCACUGCCCGGUAGCUAAAUGCGGAAGAGAUAAGUGCUGAAAGCAUCUAAGCACGAAACUUGC
This 2771-nucleotide ribosomal RNA is filed under the name Escherichia coli. RNAcentral describes it as "partial 23S ribosomal RNA". It matches the Rfam family "Bacterial large subunit ribosomal RNA". Lineage: Bacteria; Pseudomonadati; Pseudomonadota; Gammaproteobacteria; Enterobacterales; Enterobacteriaceae. The record is from RNAcentral.